Molecule: long non-coding RNA, 159 nt
Organism: Sphaeramia orbicularis (orbiculate cardinalfish)
Lineage: Eukaryota; Metazoa; Chordata; Actinopteri; Kurtiformes; Apogonidae
Exons: 4
Source: RefSeq, a predicted model, not a curated record
UCCCUUUAACCUAUAAAGGCCUAAUGCUAGUUUUGUGGCAAUUUCCAAAUGAUUUUUUCCUCUAUAUUUAACCUUUCUUAAGUGAUUUAUCACUAUUUAUUAUAAUAUUAUCCUCUGUAUUUUUUCUAUAUAGAAUAUACUGAUCAUAAAAGCUGCACA